CAUUCUUCCAAAGUUUGAGAUAAUGUCAAUAAAUUUGUUGAAGAAGAAUUCAUUAAGAUAGGCCUAGUAACUGUCCACAUAAAGUAUUGUAAUUUUUCAUUAUGAGCCCGUGCAGACUCAAUAAUAAACCAUGGUUCAGAGGCCAGUUUAGGAUCCUGUAAGAUAUAUAUGUGCCUAAUAAUAUUUGCAUAAUAACUAUAGAUAAUACUAGGAAAAUUUAGACUGCCAUUAGUCAAUUUUUUAGUUAAAAUUUUCUGACU
Molecule: non-coding RNA, 260 nt
Organism: Pelobates cultripes (western spadefoot toad)
Lineage: Eukaryota; Metazoa; Chordata; Amphibia; Anura; Pelobatidae
Source: the annotation of a GenBank genome assembly